This 167-nucleotide ribosomal RNA is filed under the name uncultured bacterium. RNAcentral's name for it is "partial 16S ribosomal RNA". It matches the Rfam family "Bacterial small subunit ribosomal RNA", at positions 1325 to 1500 of the family's 1533-position model. The record is from RNAcentral.
GCUGGAAUCGCUAGUAAUCGCAGAUCAGAAUGCUGCGGUGAAUACGUUCCCGGACCUUGUACACACCGCCCGUCAAGCCAUGGGAGCUGGGGGUGCCUGAAGUUCGUGACCGCAAGGAUCGACCUAGGGCAAAACCGGUGACUGGGGCUAAGUCGUAACAAGGUAAC